Molecule: ribosomal RNA, 254 nt
Filed under: uncultured bacterium
Lineage: Bacteria
Description: partial 16S ribosomal RNA
Rfam family: Archaeal small subunit ribosomal RNA
Source: RNAcentral
UACCAGCACCCCGAGUGGUCGGGACGUUUUAUUGGGCCUAAAGCAUCCGUAGCCGGUUCUACAAGUCUUCCGUUAAAUCCAACUGCUUAACAGGUGGGCUGCGGAAGAUACUAUAGAGCUAGGAGGCGGGAGAGGCAAGCGGUACUCGAUGGGUAGGGGUAAAAUCCGUUGAUCCAUUGAAGACCACCAGUGGCGAAGGCGGCUCACUGGCCCGUUACCGACGCUCAGGCGCGACAGCGUGGGGAGCAAACAGG